Molecule: ribosomal RNA, 433 nt
Filed under: uncultured bacterium
Lineage: Bacteria
Description: partial 16S ribosomal RNA
Rfam family: Bacterial small subunit ribosomal RNA
Source: RNAcentral
AACGAACGCUGGCGGCAGGCUUAACACAUGCAAGUCGAGCGCAUCCUUCGGGGUGAGCGGCGGACGGGUGAGUAACGCGUGGGAACGUGCCCUCUUCUACGGAAUAGCCUCGGGAAACUGAGAGUAAUGCCGUAUACGCCCGCAAGGGGAAAGAUUUAUCGGAGGAGGAUCGGCCCGCGUUGGAUUAGGUAGUUGGUGGGGUAACGGCCUACCAAGCCGACGAUCCAUAGCUGGUUUGAGAGGAUGAUCAGCCACACUGGGACUGAGACACGGCCCAGACUCCUACGGGAGGCAGCAGUGGGGAAUCUUGGACAAUGGGGGCAACCCUGAUCCAGCCAUGCCGCGUGAUCGAUGAAGGCCUUAGGGUUGUAAAGAUCUUUCAGCUAGGAAGAUAAUGACGGUACCAGCAGAAGAAGCCCCGGCUAACUCCGUG